UACGGAGGGUGCAAGCGUUAUCCGGAUUCACUGGGUUUAAAGGGUGCGUAGGAGGGCAGGUAAGUCAGUGGUGAAAUCCUGCAGCUCAACUGUAGAAUUGCCAUUGAUACUGGAUAGCUUGAGUACAGACGAGGUAGGCGGAAUUUAUGGUGUAGCGGUGAAAUGCAUAGAUACCAUAAAGAACCCCUAUUGCGAAGGCAGCUUACUAGGCUGUAACUGACGCUGAGGCACGAAAGCGUGGGGAUCAAACAGG
Molecule: ribosomal RNA, 253 nt
Filed under: uncultured bacterium
Lineage: Bacteria
Description: partial 16S ribosomal RNA
Rfam family: Bacterial small subunit ribosomal RNA
Source: RNAcentral